ACUAACAAGGAUUCCCCUAGUAACUGCGAGUGAAGCGGGAAAAGCUCAAAUUUUACCUCUGGCGGUCCUUUGCGGCCGUCCGAGUUGUAAUCUAGAGAAGUGCUUACCCGCGCUGGACCGUGUACAAGUCUCCUGGAAUGGAGCGUCAUAGAGGGUGAGAAUCCCGUCUUCGACACGGACUGCCAGGGCUUAUGUGGUGCGCUCUCGAAGAGUCGAGUUGUUUGGGAAUGCAGCUCUAAAUGGGUGGUAAAUUCCAUCUAAAGCUAAAUACAGGCGAGAGACCGAUAGCGAACAAGUACCGUGAGGGAAAGAUGAAAAGAACUUUGGAAAGAGAGUUAAACAGUACGUGAAAUUGCUGAAAGGGAAACGUUUGAAGUCAGUCGCGUUGGCUGGGGAUCAACCUUGCUCUUGCAGGGCGCACUCUCUGGUUUCGACGGGUCAGCAUCAGUUUUGGUCGCUGGAGAAAGGCUAGGGGAAUGUGGCAUCGCUUCGGUGAUGUGUUAUAGCCCUUGGUUGUAUGCAGCGGUUGGGACUGAGGAACUCAGCGCGCGCCUCUUCACGGGGGUGCCGGGUCUUUCGAGACCACGCUUACGCGCUUAGGAUGCUGGCAUAAUGGCUUUAAGCGACCCGUCUUGAAACACGGACCAAGGAGUCUAACAUGCUUGCGAGUGUUUGGGUGGAAAACCCGAGCGCGUAAUGAAAGUGAAAGUUGGGAACCCUGUCGUGGGGUGCACCGACGCCCGGACCAGACCUUCUUGUGACGGCUCCGCGGUAGAGCAGGCAUGUUGGGACCCGAAAGAUGGUGAACUAUGCCUGAAUAGGGUGAAGCCAGAGGAAACUCUGGUGGAGGCUCGUAGCGAUUCUGACGUGCAAAUCGAUCGUCAAAUUUGGGUAUAGGG
Molecule: ribosomal RNA, 899 nt
Filed under: Cyclocybe aegerita
Lineage: Eukaryota; Fungi; Basidiomycota; Agaricomycetes; Agaricales; Hemipholiotaceae
Description: partial large subunit ribosomal RNA
Rfam family: Eukaryotic large subunit ribosomal RNA
Source: RNAcentral